Molecule: ribosomal RNA, 426 nt
Filed under: uncultured Haliangium sp.
Lineage: Bacteria; Pseudomonadati; Myxococcota; Haliangiales; Kofleriaceae
Description: bacterial SSU rRNA
Rfam family: Bacterial small subunit ribosomal RNA
Source: RNAcentral
UGGGGAAUAUUGGACAAUGGGCGCAAGCCUGAUCCAGCCACGCCGCGUGAGUGAUGAAGGCCUUCGGGUCGUAAAGCUCUGUGGGGAGGGACGAACCGCCGUUGGUGCAUAGCCAACGGCAUGACGGUACCUCCUUAGCAAGCACCGGCUAACUUCGUGCCAGCAGCCGCGGUAAUACGAAGGGUGCAAACGUUGCUCGGAAUUAUUGGGCGUAAAGCGCACGUAGGCGGCUUUGCAAGUCGGAUGUGAAAUCCCUCGGCUUAACCAAGGAAGUGCAUCCGAAACUGCAGAGCUUGAGUACUUAAGAGGAUCGCGGAAUUCCCGGUGUAGAGGUGAAAUUCGUAGAUAUCGGGAGGAACACCAGUGGCGAAGGCGGCGAUCUGGGAAGAUACUGACGCUGAGGUGCGAAAGCGUGGGGAGCAAACA